GAUGAACGCUGGCGACAUGCUUAACACAUGCAAGUCGAACGAGACUAUGUGAACAACUUGUUGUUUACAUAUUUUAGUGGCGGACGGGUGAGUAACGCGUAAGAAUCUGCCUCGGGGCGAGGGAUACCAACUGGAAACGGUUGCUAAUACCUCAUAAGCUGAGAAGUAAAAGGUGUACUGCACCACCAAGAGAGGAGCUUGCGUCUGAUUAGUUAGUUGGUAAGGUAAUGGCUUACCAAGGCUAUGAUCAGUAGCUGGUCUGAGAGGACAAUCAGCC
RNAcentral lists this ribosomal RNA (277 nucleotides) under uncultured bacterium. RNAcentral describes it as "partial 16S ribosomal RNA". It matches the Rfam family "Bacterial small subunit ribosomal RNA", at positions 28 to 309 of the family's 1533-position model. The record is from RNAcentral.